This 21-nucleotide non-coding RNA is filed under the name Arabidopsis thaliana (thale cress). Lineage: Eukaryota; Viridiplantae; Streptophyta; Magnoliopsida; Brassicales; Brassicaceae. The record is from RNAcentral.
UCGAUUCAGGUGUACAAAGUU